CAAGUCGUACGCAUUCUCGUUUCUGAUUGACGGUGCUUGCACCUAAUUGACGAGACAUUGGAAUGAGUGGCGGACGGGUGAGUAACACGUGGGUAACCUGCCCAGAAGUGGGGGAUAACAUUUGGAAACAGAUGCUAAUACCGCAUAAAAGUCAAAACCACAUGGUUUUGAUUUAAAAGAUGGCCUUUGUGCUAUCACUUCUGGAUGGACCCGCGGCGUAUUAGCUAGUUGGUAAGGUAACGGCUUACCAAGGCAAUGAUACGUAGCCGAACUGAGAGGUUGAUCGGCCACAAUGGGACUGAGACACGGCCCAUACUCCUACGGGAGGCAGCAGUAGGGAAUCUUCCACAAUGGGCGCAAGCCUGAUGGAGCAACACCGCGUGAGUGAAGAAGGGUUUCGGCUCGUAAAACUCUGUUGUUAAAGAAGAACGUAUCUAAGAGUAACUGCUUAGGUAGUGACGGUAUUUAACCAGAAAGCCACGGCUAACUACGUGCCAGCAGCCGCGGUAAUACGUAGGUGGCAAGCGUUAUCCGGAUUUAUUGGGCGUAAAGCGAGCGCAGGCGGUUUUUUAAGUCUGAUGUGAAAGCCUUCGGCUUAACCGAAGAAGUGCAUCGGAAACUGGGAGACUUGAGUGCAGAAGAGGACAGUGGAACUCCAUGUGUAGCGGUGAAAUGCGUAGAUAUAUGGAAGAACACCAGUGGCGAAGGCGGCUGUCUGGUCUGUAACUGACGCUGAGGCUCGAAAGCAUGGGUAGCGAACAGGAUUAGAUACCCUGGUAGUCCAUGCCGUAAACGAUGAAUGCUAAGUGUUGGAGGGUUUCCGCCCUUCAGUGCUGCAGCUAACGCAUUAAGCAUUCCGCCUGGGGAGUACGACCGCAAGGUUGAAACUCAAAGGAAUUGACGGGGGCCCGCACAAGCGGUGGAGCAUGUGGUUUAUUUCGAAGCAACGCGAAGAACCUUUACCAGGUCUUGACAUCUAGCGCCAAUCUCAGAGAUGAGA
RNAcentral lists this ribosomal RNA (1000 nucleotides) under Paucilactobacillus suebicus. RNAcentral's name for it is "bacterial SSU rRNA". It matches the Rfam family "Bacterial small subunit ribosomal RNA", at positions 58 to 1011 of the family's 1533-position model. Lineage: Bacteria; Bacillati; Bacillota; Bacilli; Lactobacillales; Lactobacillaceae. The record is from RNAcentral.